Molecule: long non-coding RNA, 1328 nt
Organism: Drosophila subobscura
Lineage: Eukaryota; Metazoa; Arthropoda; Insecta; Diptera; Drosophilidae
Exons: 4
Source: RefSeq, a predicted model, not a curated record
CUUGUUAGUUAUUUCAAAACGAAAACUCAACAUCGCGGAAUUUGAUUUCCGAUGUCGAUGUUGCAUUGUUCUACGACUUGUUGAGUAUCUUCUUCUCUUCCAGUAUUUUUCUUAUCGCGUGAAGAUAUUGGCAUUUUACUAUCACAUCGAAUAUUAAUUCGUAAUCAGCAUCAAAAUCGAAAAUGUCGCCCAAAAAUUUUUGAGUGGCACGCAAAUGAGUGACCACAUGGAAUGGCUUCAUAUGAACUAUGUUGUAGCCUGUUGGGGUCGGUAACAGAUGUGCAGAUGCGCAUUGAUGAAAGAGAAUUUAAAAGAAGAUGCUGCAGAAAUGUGAAGAAAGUCUGCCGCCCCUGGAUCCAUGUCUAAGCCAACACCAAUUUGUUUUGCUGCAGGGCUACGCCACCUCUCUCAUGAGACGGAACUCAAUAGUUUGACGCUCUGUCUCGGCUGCAUUUGGAACCCGAGCAUCAGUGUAUAGACUGAUAUCAGCCGAUAUUAAGAGGCGCAAUCCAUUUGCCUGUGGGAAUGAAUAUGCUAAAAUAGGUGAUGUCUGCUAACUGGAGGCAAAGCUGGAUGACCCGCAAAAGAGGACCAGUCGGAAUAAUAUAAGCGUCUCAUGAACCAUGGGGUCAGUGACAGAUGAACGAUUCUUGUUAUUGGCCCAUUUGGGCAAGAGAUCACAUAUUUUGAUCCUCUACUGGGCUUGACCCAGAUAGAAAGAUAACUCCAGCGGCCACACGGCACCCGCAAAGAUCCUGCUGCUGCAGGCAAGGGUGCGAUAUGGAUCCUAUUUCAAGGCGAAUGUGCGCAAGUCCCGGGCCCUAAAGCUAUACUGUACCACCUGACGAGGAACUGCAUCCCAUCGAUAAUCUGAAACUAUUACCAGCUCGCAGACGGAGCGAGACGAUGCAGAUAUUCAACUUGUUUAGUGCUGGACAGGAUGCCAUUUGCCGACUGUGGCUUCCAUUGAACUGGUCCAGAUGCUAGGAAAAAAGCAAGGAUUCGAAUUUGCGAUAUUUGCCGCAAUUUAGUGUCGAUGACAAGAGAAAAUAAAAUCGCUUUCAUCAUGGCGCUGAAGGAUGAGGAUCUUGCAGCUCUCCAAUACACAAAUAGUCGAUGUUGUAUAGGUAUCGUACCCCAACAUUGAGCUCAACUAUGUGGUGGUCCAGCUGGAGCGUGAAUGCUCCGUGAUUACAAUCAAGGCUGGGGGGUCGCAGCACCCGGCAAACAUGACCAUACAGGAGCGAAUCCUACUUCAUCUAAGUGGCCCAUUUCCAAUCUUUGAGUGGAACCGAGUCGGAUUGGGGCGCAGGUUAAGAUUUUUAAAU